AGAAAGAGUAAAGAAGUAAAAUACAUUUAAUUUCGACUUAAAAUUCAGAGAAAUAUCUUCAUACUC
This 66-nucleotide transfer RNA is filed under the name Sivaloka damnosus. Its description in RNAcentral is "tRNA-Arg". Lineage: Eukaryota; Metazoa; Arthropoda; Insecta; Hemiptera; Issidae. The record is from RNAcentral.